UCCUUGGCAGUCCAGUGGUUAAGACUCAGCACUUUCACUGCUAUGGGCCUGGGUUCAAUCCCUUGUUGGGGAA
Molecule: transfer RNA, 73 nt
Filed under: Bos taurus (domestic cattle)
Lineage: Eukaryota; Metazoa; Chordata; Mammalia; Artiodactyla; Bovidae
Also listed under: 1 other name
Rfam family: tRNA
About the family: Transfer RNA (tRNA) molecules are approximately 80 nucleotides in length. Their secondary structure includes four short double-helical elements and three loops (D, anti-codon, and T loops).
Source: Rfam by way of RNAcentral